Molecule: long non-coding RNA, 903 nt
Organism: Marmota monax (woodchuck)
Lineage: Eukaryota; Metazoa; Chordata; Mammalia; Rodentia; Sciuridae
Exons: 3
Source: RefSeq, a predicted model, not a curated record
CAGGACACAGCAUGGCCAUGAGGGCUCCUGCUCAGCUCCUGGAACUCCUGCUGCUCUGCCUCCCAGGUGAAUCAUAUUCUGCUCUGGCACAUCUGUGCUGCUCUCAACUGAACUGGGACAAUGGGCACAUCUGGCCUGUGCUGAGUGUCAGAUGAGCAGCCCUGCAGCUGUGCCCAGCCUGCCCAGCCCUGCUGAUUUACAUGUUCCCACAGCACAGCCCAUUGUCCUGCGGACUUCUUAAGAGGCUGCUCACACCCUGUGCAGGAGUCAUCCCGGUCAGGAAACAGCAUGGCCAUAAGGGUCCCUGCUCAGGUCCUGGGGCUCCUGCUGCUCUGCCUUUCAGGUUCCAGAUGUGACAUCCAGAUGACCCAGUCUCCUUCACCCCUGUCUGCAUCUCAAGGAGACAGAGUCACCAUCACCUGCAGGGCCAGUGAGGACAUUAGCGAUUUUUUACACUGGCAUAAGCAGAAAUGAGAACAAGCUCCUAAGCUCCUCAUCACAUAUGCAAACACUUUGCAAUCUAGGGUCCCCUCGAGGUUCAGUGGCAGUGGAUCUGUGACAGAUUUUACUCUCACCAUCAGCAGUCUGGGGCCUGAAGAUGUUGCCACUUAUUUCUGUCAACAAGGUAGCAGUUCCCCUCCCACAGUGACACAGGCCAUGACAAAAACCUCCCAGGGAGCAGAAGUGUGAGGCUAGGCUGCCCCAGGUUCUUCUCCUUCGGCAUCCACCUGCUGAGGGCACUGCUCAGAGUCACCAGGCUCUGAGGUCACAGUGAGGGUUUCCUAGAGGGGAAGUGGGAGGAUUCUUUUUCCAGUGGUCCCUUGCUUUUCCUCAGCCCCAGCAACUCAGAGAAGACAAUUCAUUUCCUGGUGUAAUCCAGAGUAAAGCUUGUUUCCUCUGUGC